RNAcentral lists this ribosomal RNA (565 nucleotides) under Escherichia coli. RNAcentral's name for it is "bacterial LSU rRNA". It matches the Rfam family "Bacterial large subunit ribosomal RNA", at positions 296 to 872 of the family's 2925-position model. The record is from RNAcentral. Lineage: Bacteria; Pseudomonadati; Pseudomonadota; Gammaproteobacteria; Enterobacterales; Enterobacteriaceae.
AGCCCAGAGCCUGAAUCAGUGUGUGUGUUAGUGGAAGCGUCUGGAAAGGCGCGCGAUACAGGGUGACAGCCCCGUACACAAAAAUGCACAUAUUGUGAGCUCGAUGAGUAGGGCGGGACACGUGGUAUCCUGUCUGAAUAUGGGGGGACCAUCCUCCAAGGCUAAAUACUCCUGACUGACCGAUAGUGAACCAGUACCGUGAGGGAAAGGCGAAAAGAACCCCGGCGAGGGGAGUGAAAAAGAACCUGAAACCGUGUACGUACAAGCAGUGGGAGCACGCUUAGGCGUGUGACUGCGUACCUUUUGUAUAAUGGGUCAGCGACUUAUAUUCUGUAGCAAGGUUAACCGAAUAGGGGAGCCGAAGGGAAACCGAGUCUUAACUGGGCGUUAAGUUGCAGGGUAUAGACCCGAAACCCGGUGAUCUAGCCAUGGGCAGGUUGAAGGUUGGGUAACACUAACUGGAGGACCGAACCGACUAAUGUUGAAAAAUUAGCGGAUGACUUGUGGCUGGGGGUGAAAGGCCAAUCAAACCGGGAGAUAGCUGGUUCUCCCCGAAAGCUAUUUA